AUUAAAAGAAUAUUAAAAAAGUAAAGCUUCUAACUUUAACUAAAAACGUAAAAU
This 54-nucleotide transfer RNA is filed under the name Thlaspida biramosa. Its description in RNAcentral is "tRNA-Ser". Lineage: Eukaryota; Metazoa; Arthropoda; Insecta; Coleoptera; Chrysomelidae. The record is from RNAcentral.